AAAUUUAGACAUGCUUGAUCUAGCUGAUACAAUUAGCAUAGAUCUAUUUCAUAAACAGUUCAUAAAUGAAGAACUUUAAUUUAAUUCACAGUUCAAUAGCAAUAGAACGGAAUUCAAUUGCACAAAGUGCGAAUUUCAAUAAUCAAUAUAGACGUGAAUAAUCAUCAAUAAUUAUUCACUAACAUGCUUUGAAAAUAAUAACUCGAGUUUGAGUUAGGAAACUUGCCUCGUCUGUAGAUUACAGCUACGCAAUUAAUUUAUAUCCACUAUGCAGUUAUAUUAUCUUCCUUUGAGAGACCUAUAGUUAAUUUUUCAAUUAG
RNAcentral lists this long non-coding RNA (320 nucleotides) under Panax ginseng (ginseng). RNAcentral's name for it is "long non-coding RNA (PGIN_LNC016609)". Lineage: Eukaryota; Viridiplantae; Streptophyta; Magnoliopsida; Apiales; Araliaceae. The record is from RNAcentral.